UACGGAGGGUGCAAGCGUUAUCCGGAUUUACUGGGUUUCAAGGGUGCGUAGGUUGUUUGGUAAGUUAGUGGUGAAAUACUACAGCGCAACUGUGGAACUGCCAUUAAUACUAUCAAUCUUGAAUGCAGUGGAGGCGGGCGGAAUGUGUCAUGUAGCGGUGAAAUGCUUAGAUAUGACACAGAACACCAAUUGCGAAGGCAGCUUGCUACACUGUGAUUGACACUGAGGCACGAAAGCGUGGGGAUCAAACAGG
RNAcentral lists this ribosomal RNA (253 nucleotides) under uncultured bacterium. RNAcentral describes it as "partial 16S ribosomal RNA". It matches the Rfam family "Bacterial small subunit ribosomal RNA", at positions 524 to 776 of the family's 1533-position model. The record is from RNAcentral.